ACGGCAGUAAUCUAGCGGUUUCGCGUGCAUCGGUCUUGCAUGCAGCGCCAAAGGAUUCGACCCUCCCAAGGUCGCUACCCGGGUUCGAACCCGAGCAUGCAAAGGCAUGUUGGCGGAUGUCCCGGCUGCCGUA
RNAcentral lists this transfer RNA (133 nucleotides) under Candidatus Woesearchaeota archaeon. Its description in RNAcentral is "tRNA-Gly". The record is from RNAcentral. Lineage: Archaea; Nanobdellati; Candidatus Woesearchaeota.